CAGCCGCCGCGGUAAUACGGAGGGCGCGAGCGUUACCCGGGUUUACUGGGCGUAAAGGGCGUGUAGGCGGCCUGGGGCGUCCCAUGUGAAAGGCCACGGCUCAACCGUGGAGGAGCGUGGGAUACGCUCAGGCUAGAGGGUGGGAGAGGGUGGUGGAAUUCCCGGAGUAGCGGUGAAAUGCGCAGAUACCGGGAGGAACGCCGAUGGCGAAGGCAGCCACCUGGUCCACUUCUGACGCUGAGGCGCGAAAGCGUGGGGAGCAAACCGGAUUAGAUACCCCCGUAGUCCCUGUCUCUUAUAC
RNAcentral lists this ribosomal RNA (301 nucleotides) under uncultured bacterium. Its description in RNAcentral is "partial 16S ribosomal RNA". It matches the Rfam family "Bacterial small subunit ribosomal RNA", at positions 509 to 807 of the family's 1533-position model. The record is from RNAcentral.